Molecule: long non-coding RNA, 1790 nt
Filed under: Homo sapiens (human)
Lineage: Eukaryota; Metazoa; Chordata; Mammalia; Primates; Hominidae
Description: non-protein coding MIR503HG:8
Source: RNAcentral
CGUUCGGGCCUACCCAGCAGGUAAGUCUUAGGCCAUCGCCUGCGGUGUCGGCCCCGGGAGCAGCGAGACCCAAGAUUGCAUCAAACGUUUGCCCCGUCUCUGCAUAUGUGACUGGACGUGAAUGAUGCUUCAUUUUGGCACCCCCUUUCCCUGCUCAGGUAGAAUGUAAACAAUUGAAAAAAAUCCCUUCCCAAUCAGAAUACCACCCACAGGACAACGAAGAAAACCUAUCUUCAGUCCCCACCCACGAAAUGCUGGGGGGUGGGGAGGACUGGAAAAGGAGUAAGGGGAGAGGAAGGGUGAGCAGCUGCAAGAAGUCUUUACACCUCUCUGCGGUUCCUGGUAAACGCGCUCAUGUCCUGGGUAUGGAAGGGACUUAAGAAUUCAGGAAAGAUCAAAAUAACGGGCCUCUUCCCCACUCCCUCGCCCUCCCUUCCCCGCUGCUGGGGGGUUAGGGAGGCUCCGUGGAGCUCCAGCACUCUAGAAGGAUCGGGUGAGGCGCGAGGCCUUGCGGGCGGGUGAACCCAAGGUGGGGUGGAAGGCUCCAACCCGCCCAAUCUGAGCCCGAGGCCUGCUGAGAAGCAUGGGGGCCUUGGGAUAGUUCCAGAAUGAGGAUGUGCGUUUCUAGCUGCUUUGCGCCCUCCUCCCCCAAAAAUCUGCUACCACAAUUCCAACCCGGCGGCACGCCCCCAAGACUCCUUUGUCGCCCCAGGGGCGGGACCUGAGCUGUCGAUUUCAGGAGCCCUUCGUGACUUCAAAAGUCCUGGGCACUGUUGCUCAUGAGUGCUGCACAACUGUCGCCCUCUAAAGCCACCUCCAUCCCUCACUGGGCUGGCCUCCUGAGCCUUCGGUGAGGAAACGGGGUUCCGAGUUGCCCGCCUGAGAGCUUAACAGUCUGACUAGAAAAGGGCUAAUUCGCUUUCUGUGCAAAUCUCUUGAGCUAAUUAUUUAAUCUGAAACAUGGACAGGUAAAGGACCAUUGGCGGGCGUGGGGAGGGAGGUGUGGAAUCUUUCCCACACUUUUUGUCACCUUAAAGAAAAAAAAAAGACACCCAAACUCCUCUGGUCUGAAUGGGCUGCCUGGAACUGGGCUUCCCGGGGCCAGGAGUGGGCCCCUAGAAGUUUCCCAGUUUGGGGUGGGGCCGGGGUUCCGAAGUCUAGAGCUGGGAGUCGGGUUCAGCGGCCCGAGACGCUGGCUCUCCCAGACUCCCUUGCGCCGGGGCAGUGCGCGGGGGCGGCUCGGGUCCCUCCCGGGCCGGCGGGGACCCUCAGGCUCCCGGGGCGCCGCCCACCAGCCCGACCCGGCGGCCUAGAAAUCCCCAUUCUGCUCCCGCCUCGCCCCGGCCGGCCAGCGCAGGGCCCCUCAGGCCCGCAAUCUCCAGGCUCAAACGGCGAACAGGUCCCCGCAUCCGCCUGCCUUUGCACUUGGGGGUGGGAGAGCCACCUUGUGACGCCCCUUCUGCCUCUCACCAGCUUCCCCCUUUCUCCCCGUCCUGUACGGUUCCCCCUGGAGCCAGAAGGAAGCCCGGUGCCAGCCAGCCUUCCUGAAAGACCAAGCCCGCGCCAUCCGGCUUCCUCCAGUGGACGCCUGCAGGACCCAGGAAUGUUUUUCUUGAAGGCAUCCAGCAUCUCCAGUUAGCAGUACUGAUUUUUUUUCCCCCCAACAAAGGAACACUACAUCAACACUGUUGGCGGGGACCUGGACACAGAAGACUCCUGUUUCAAGAAAAUACAAUCAUCUCUCAAAGGCUGUAAUUUAUAUGCAUUUUAAAACUCUAGGCAUUGAAAAC